This is a long non-coding RNA of Gordionus sp. m RMFG-2023, 1007 nucleotides long. RefSeq lists it as uncharacterized. The transcript has 8 exons. The record is from RefSeq and is a predicted model, not a curated record. NCBI's taxonomy places the organism in Eukaryota, Metazoa, Nematomorpha, Gordioida, Chordodea, Parachordodidae.
AUUUAUUAUUCGUAUUCGUAAUUAUUCGUAUUCGUAAUUAUUCGUUUCUAUUCGAAUUAUUCGAAUCGAAUAUUCGAUUUUUUUUUUGAAUAGGCCUAGCGCGUAUCGUGCCGCAUGAUAUACUUUUUUUUGUGUUUUGAUGUUUUGUCGCGUGACUUUUUGCUAAAUUUUGCUUAAGCUUAAAAUUUGUAUGCUCAAUUUAAAAAGCUGAUUGCUCAAUAAUAUAUACUUUAUAUAUAAAUAUUACCUUAUCUUUUACAUUUUAGAAAAUAUGAUAGUUAUAAUACUACUAUGUAUUACAAAUGCACCAAGCCAUAAUGUGUGGGUAAAGGGAUAUUUAAAAACAAUAUCUUUCUUAUAUCCAAACAAUGCACUGCUCUUGCCUGCUUAUAAAGUUUAUCUAAAAUAUUUUCUCCAGCAUCAUUUGAGACCAUAACCAACCCAGAAUGAUAUAAUCCAUUCAGGAACUCCAACUAAUCAAGCAUCACUUAAUAUAAUCCAUUCAGGAACUCCAACCAACCAAACAUCACUUGAUAUAAUCCAUUCAGCAACUCCAACUAAUCAAGCAUCACUUGAUAUAAUCCAUUCAGGAACUCCAACCAACCAAACAUCACUUGAUACAAUCCAAUCAGGAACUCCAACCGACCAAAGAAAAUUUAAAAUAUGCUAUCUCGUUAACCUGGAAAUUUUAAUCUUAGCAUCAUUUAUAAUCCAUUUAGGAACUCCAACCAAUCAAGGUUUUUACCUUCAAUUCAUCACAUCACACUUUAUCAAUAUUAUGAUCAUGCUGUCAAAAUUUUCAUUUUUUAAUGCUUUUUAUAUCAAAUUUACACCAUUUUAUAUAAUAUUGAUAUGCAAAAAGUAAUUACCCUAAUUUUAUAUAUUAGUAUUGAAAUACAAAUUGCAAUCAUUAUUUUAUAUACCACCUAUUGAUAUACAAAUUUAAUCAUCAUUUUAUAUACAAUUAAUAUUCAAUUGCAAUAUAUACAAAUUUUUAUACACUACCA